UACAGAGGUGCCGAGCGUUAGGCGGAAUCACUGGGCUUAAAGCGUGUGUAGGCGGAUCGUUAAGUGCCUUGUGAAAUCCCACGGCUCAACCGUGGAACUGCUUGGCAUACUGGCGGUCUUGAGCCACUUAGGGGCUACCGGAACAAACGGUGGAGCGGUGAAAUGCGUAGAUAUCGUGUGGAACGCCAAUGGUGAAAACAGGUAGCUGGGAAUGUGCUGACGCUGAGACACGAAAGCCAGGGGAGCGAACGGG
This 253-nucleotide ribosomal RNA is filed under the name uncultured bacterium. RNAcentral's name for it is "partial 16S ribosomal RNA". It matches the Rfam family "Bacterial small subunit ribosomal RNA", at positions 524 to 776 of the family's 1533-position model. The record is from RNAcentral.